RNAcentral lists this long non-coding RNA (414 nucleotides) under Salmo salar (Atlantic salmon). RNAcentral describes it as "lncRNA (ENSSSAG00000122246.1)". The record is from RNAcentral. Lineage: Eukaryota; Metazoa; Chordata; Actinopteri; Salmoniformes; Salmonidae.
CUAUAUACAGGAUCAGUUCCAAUAGCAUAUUUACAAUGUGCAGGGAUACUGGAGUGAUGGAGGUAGAUAUGUAUAGGGGUAAGGUGACAGGGAUACUGGAGUGAUGGAGGUAGAUAUGUAUAGGGGUAAGGUGACAGGGAUACUGGAGUGAUGGAGGUAGAUAUGUAUAGGGGUAAGGUACUAUAUACAGGGUCAGUUCCAGUAGCAUAUUUACAAUGUGCAGGGAUACUGGAGUGAUGGAGGUAGAUAUGUAUAGGGGUAAGGUACUAUAUACAGGAUCAGUUCCAGUAGCAUAUUUACAAUGUGCAGGGAUACUGGAGUGAUGGAGGUAGAUAUGUAUAGGGGUAAGGUACUAUAUACAGGGUCAGUUCCAGUAGCAUAUUUACAAUGUGCAGGGAUACUGGAGUGAUGGAG